GACACGCUGGCGGCGUGCUUAACACAUGCAAGUCGAGCGGUAAGGCCCCUUCGGGGGUACACGAGCGGCGAACGGGUGAGUAACACGUGAGCAAUCUGCCCUUCACUUUGGGAUAACUCUGGGAAACGAGAGCUAAUACCGAAUACGACCACUUCAGGCAUCUGAUGGUGGUGGAAAGUUCCGGCGGUGAAGGAUGAGCUCGCGGCCUAUCAGCUAGUUGGUGGAGUAACGGCCCACCAAGGCUUCGACGGGUAGCCGGCCUGAGAGGGUGACCGGCCACACUGGGACUGAGACACGGCCCAGACUCCUACGGGAGGCAGCAGUGGGGAAUAUUGGACAAUGGGCGAAAGCCUGAUCCAGCAACGCCGCGUGAGGGAUGACGGCCUUCGGGUUGUAAACCUCUUUCAGUAGGGACGAAGCGCAAGUGACGGUACCUACAGAAGAAGCACCGGCCAACUACGUG
RNAcentral lists this ribosomal RNA (463 nucleotides) under uncultured bacterium. RNAcentral describes it as "bacterial SSU rRNA". It matches the Rfam family "Bacterial small subunit ribosomal RNA", at positions 33 to 507 of the family's 1533-position model. The record is from RNAcentral.